CAGCCAGUAGGGGAGUGCGGCCAGCGCUGCAGCCAAUCAGCGUCCGCCUCGGGCUCUGGGCGCGAGGAGCGAGCUGUGCACGCGCCUGGGCCGCGCGCCACUUCUCACUUUCUAACGGCCACUGGCCACUCCGGCUUGCGCUGCCCUAAGUGUAUGCGGGGCUGAAUGGGGAGGAGGAACAGGGUCUGAGCUGGUUUGAGAAUAUGCUGUUCCUCCCUCGCCUUUACUUCAUGGACCCCACAUUGUUGCCUUUCUCUUAGAGCCUCUGAGAUUGGUACCUAGGCGAGGCAUAAUGCCCCUGCCUCCCAUAAGACUGCCCAGCCCCUACGGCUCUGAUCGGCUGGUACGGCUGGCAGCCAGGCUCCGGCCUGCACUAUGUGAUACCCUGAUCACCGUGGGGAGCCAGGAGUUCCCAGUCCACAGCCUGGUGCUAGCAGGUGUAAGCCAGCAGCUGGGCCACAGGGGCCAGUGGGCUCUGGUAGAAGGCAUCAGCCCUUCCACCUUUGCCCAGCUUCUACAUUUUGUUUAUGGAGAGAGUGUAGAGCUGCAGCCUGGGGAGCUGGAGACCCUCGAGGCGGCGGCCAGGGCCUUGGGAGUGCAGUCCCUGGAAGAGGCCUGCAGAAGGGCUCGAAGGGACAGGGCUGAAGAAGAGCUGGACCCAGGGCUGAAGAAACGUCAGGAGGAGCCAGAGAAACCCACAAGGGAUUCUGAGAGAGGACUGGGGAGGCUUGGAGAGAAGCAGGAACCAGAGAAGUUUUUUAGAACUGGUGAGAGAGAACAGGAGAUGUUGCACAAGCACAAGCCACCGAGAGAGGGCCCUGAGAUGGCAGGGGCGAGGAGGGAGGAUCAGGGGGAGCAGAUGAGAUCAAAGGAGGAGAAAUUCAGCCAACCCCCUGUUUGCCACGGGGCAGCAGAUGGGAAGCAAGGAGUGGUCAUGUGGGUGAGGGAGAGUGCAGGGGGCUCUGAGGAAAGUCUGCGGGAGUUCCCUGGCCCCCUUCCCCUACCAAAUUCCUUCCAAACCAGCAUCAUCCCCAGGCCCUGGUGGGCUGAGGCCCCUUGGUUUGGGGAGAGCCAGCCUGCCCUGUGGAGCAUCCUGCUGUUGCCGCCCAGAUAUGGCACUCCCUUCUCCCAUAGCACCCCCACCACUGGAGCCUGGCAGGAGGUCUGGCCUCAGGACCAGAGGAUCCCACUGGCCCUGAACCUCCCCAAAGGGCUCUGGAGCCAGAACCAGCUGGCCUCCUCCAGCCCCACCCCAGGUUCCCUCUCCCAGGGGCCCACACAGCUCAGCCCUGGGGAGACGGAAGAGUCUGAUCAGGGGCACACAGGAGCACUUGCAACCUGUGUGGGUCACGAGGGCACAGCAGGCCACCCAUCUCACCAACACCCUCCCCCAGCCCCUUCUGCUCGGUCUCGGCCCUAUGCUUGCUCUGUCUGUGGGAAGAGGUUUUCACUGAAACAUCAGAUGGAAACGCACUACCGAGUCCACACAGGAGAGAAGCCCUUCUCCUGUAGCCUUUGUCCUCAGCGCUCCCGGGACUUCUCUGCCAUGAGCAAGCACCUGCGGACGCACGGGGCCGCUCCGUAUCGCUGCCCCCUGUGCAGGGCCGGCUGCCCCAGCCUGGCCUCCAUGCAGGCGCACAUGCGAGGCCACUCACCCAGCCAGCUCCCGCCCGGAUGGACCAUUCGCUCCACCUUCCUCUACUCCUCCUCCUCCUCAAGGCCAUCCCGGGCCUCGACCUCUCCCUGUUGUCCCUCCUCCACCACCACCUGACGAGGUGUCGGUAGCUUCUUUGGGCUCAGCCAAGAUUCCAAGUAAAGAAUGAGAAUCGGGGCGGCUUGGCAUCUGGCCCGGCACUGCUGCUGCGGCAGCUUAGCAAACUCGGCCCCAGAAGCGCCUCGGGAAGGCGGCUGAGAGCUCUCUCCCGGACGACCGCGGGUCGCACACGCCUGGGCCAGCGAGCCUCUUUAGGGACUAGAAAGCCGACUUCAGUCUGUGCGCGGGGGUCCCCCAGCCUUGCCCCUUGUCCUAGAGCGGCCCCUUGUGGCUGUGCGUCCGCUGUCCAGCGGGGUGGACACUUCCUCUGCUCCCCUGGGCGCUCCGUCCUCUCCUGGAGGCAGCCUGCCGCAAGGGCUCGGUGUUCAGGCAAACUUCGCAGCAGGCCCUGGGAUGGUGGAGGCUGUGAGACCCGAGUCACUCGCCCCUUCCACAGCAAUCCGCGGCGCGCGAAGUCUGAGCUGCGCGGGCCCCGCCAGUGGCUGGAGGGAGAGCAUGCUUCCGCCCUGUUUUCGUCACCCGCCCGCUCUCCUUGAGCACCGGGGCCCCGAGAUCGCGGCCCCUCUAGCAUCUUCCCUCCGCGCCGAGCAGAACGGCGGCCGGGUCGCGCUUGGAACCGAGACUACCCCUUCGCCGCCGCCCCUUCCCAGCCCACGCCUCCCGCAGUCGCGAACUGCACUUCCCAGUGUCGCCUGCGUUCCCAGGGCCGCAGCCCGCUGCAGCCUGGGAGUGGUAGUCGCUGCGGGCCGCUGGCUCCGACAGAAUCUAUAGCAGGCGUCUGGGACGAGGACCACAGGUCCCGGAGGCCCGAGGAUUGGCUUUCCGGGUCCUGCUCAGGGACCCCGCGCUCGCGCCCUGCUCCCGGCGGAAGGAGCAAGGCGUCUGGACUACAUUUCCCGAGGGCCCCUGCGCCUCGCCCCUCUGGCCGCGACGCGGGGUCUAUGCUCCUCAGGAGCGGUCUAGGGGUGACGGCCGAGCGGCCGCGGACUCCGGCUCCCGUG
This is a non-coding RNA of Microcebus murinus (gray mouse lemur), 2775 nucleotides long. NCBI's taxonomy places the organism in Eukaryota, Metazoa, Chordata, Mammalia, Primates, Cheirogaleidae. The record is from RefSeq and is a predicted model, not a curated record.